GCUUGGGUGGUUUCCAGGUCGCUCGUCCAGGUACGAUUUUUAUUUUGCGGCUCGGUAAGGGUCCGUGAAGCCCCGCACUGCUGACAGCUUCUUAGCGCAACAUUAUGCCAGCUAGUACCAGAAACUAUUGUUAUGCGCUUGGCAGUGGACGUCCCCGGGCCGUCGUACUAGGAACGACCUUAGUCCGACGCGAAUAGCCCUACCCUUGGUAUAUGACGCAUGCAAGGUCAGAGGAUGUUGUUGCGACGAACACAGCUGAUAUUCAAUACUUGCAACUAAUAAUCAGACUUGCCAUGCUUAUUAGUGGUAGGUGACAUUAUGUUACUCUUACUACCUUGGC
This 340-nucleotide long non-coding RNA is filed under the name Volvox carteri. RNAcentral's name for it is "long non-coding RNA (VCAR_LNC001376)". The record is from RNAcentral. Lineage: Eukaryota; Viridiplantae; Chlorophyta; Chlorophyceae; Chlamydomonadales; Volvocaceae.